GCCCUAGUAGCUUAACUAAAGCAUUGGUCUUGUAAACCAAAGACUGCAGACUAACCUCUGCCCAGGGCU
RNAcentral lists this transfer RNA (69 nucleotides) under Indirana semipalmata. RNAcentral describes it as "tRNA-Thr". It matches the Rfam family "tRNA". From Rfam's summary of the family: Transfer RNA (tRNA) molecules are approximately 80 nucleotides in length. Their secondary structure includes four short double-helical elements and three loops (D, anti-codon, and T loops). Further hydrogen bonds mediate the characteristic L-shaped molecular structure. tRNAs have two regions of fundamental functional importance: the anti-codon, which is responsible for specific mRNA codon recognition, and the 3' end, to which the tRNAs corresponding amino acid is attached (by aminoacyl-tRNA synthetases). tRNAs cope with the degeneracy of the genetic code in two manners: having more than one tRNA (with a specific anti-codon) for a particular amino acid; and 'wobble' base-pairing, i.e. permitting non-standard base-pairing at the 3rd anti-codon position. Lineage: Eukaryota; Metazoa; Chordata; Amphibia; Anura; Ranixalidae. The record is from RNAcentral.